AGUAGAAUUUCUAGAUAAAGUGGUAGCUUAGCAUUUUGAGCAGCUGACAAAUUGUUUCCUAGAGUAGCUACAACCAUUUUUUGUUCCCACCAGCAGU
This 97-nucleotide microRNA precursor is filed under the name Marmota monax (woodchuck). Lineage: Eukaryota; Metazoa; Chordata; Mammalia; Rodentia; Sciuridae. The record is from RNAcentral.